Molecule: ribosomal RNA, 500 nt
Filed under: uncultured bacterium
Lineage: Bacteria
Description: partial 16S ribosomal RNA
Rfam family: Bacterial small subunit ribosomal RNA
Source: RNAcentral
AUUGAACGCUGGCGGAAUGCUUUACACAUGCAAGUCGAACGGCAGCACGGGGGCAACCCUGGUGGCGAGUGGCGAACGGGUGAGUAAUACAUCGGAACGUGCCCAGUCGUGGGGGAUAACGUAGCGAAAGUUACGCUAAUACCGCAUACGAUCUACGGAUGAAAGCGGGGGACCGUAAGGCCUCGCGCGAUUGGAGAGGCCGAUGUCAGAUUAGGUAGUUGGUGAGGUAAAGGCUCACCAAGCCGACGAUCUGUAGCUGGUCUGAGAGGACGACCAGCCACACUGGGACUGAGACACGGCCCAGACUCCUACGGGAGGCAGCAGUGGGGAAUUUUGGACAAUGGGCGCAAGCCUGAUCCAGCCAUUCCGCGUGCGGGACGAAGGCCUUCGGGUUGUAAACUGCUUUUGUACGGAACGAAAAGGCUCUGGUUAAUACCUGGGGCUCAUGACGGUACCGUAAGAAUAAGCACCGGCUAACUACGUGCCAGCAGCCGCGGUAA